Molecule: ribosomal RNA, 770 nt
Filed under: Ocyropsis sp. Bahamas
Lineage: Eukaryota; Metazoa; Ctenophora; Tentaculata; Lobata; Ocyropsidae
Description: SSU rRNA
Rfam family: Eukaryotic small subunit ribosomal RNA
Source: RNAcentral
CUGGUUGAUCCUGCCAGUAGUCAUAUGCUUGUCUCAAAGAUUAAGCCAUGCAUGUCUAAGUAUAAACUUUUUAUACUGUGAAACUGCGAAUGGCUCAUUAAAUCAGUUAUCGUCUAUUUGAUUGUGCCCUUACUACAUGGAUAACCGUAGUAAUUCUAGAGCUAAUACAUGCGAAAAGUCCCGACUUCUGGAAGGGAUGUAUUUAUUAGAUUAAAAACCAAUGCGUUUCACGACGCUAUUCGGUGAUUCAUAAUAACUGUUCGAAUCGCAUGGCCCUCGUGCCGGCGAUGUUUCAUUCGAGUUUCUGCUAUCAACUUUCGAUGGUAAGGUAUUGGCUUACCAUGGUUGCAACGGGUAACGGAGAAUUAGGGUUCGAUUCCGGAGAGGGAGCCCGAGAAACGGCUACCACAUCCAAGGAAGGCAGCAGCGCGCAAAUUACCCAAUCCCGACCCGGGGAGGUAGUGACAAUAAAUAACGUUGCAGGCGCCAACGGCUUCUGCAGUCGGAAUGAGUACAAUAUAACACCCUUAACGAGGAACAAUUGGAGGCAAGCCUGGUGCCAGCAGCGCGGUAAUUCCAGCUCCAAUAGCGUAUAUUAAAGUUGUUGCAGUUAAAAAGCUCGUAGUUGGAUUUCGGAACCGGCCGAUUGGUCCGUCCUUUGGAUCGUGUACUGAUCGGUCUGUUCUUCUUCGCGAAGACCGCGUGUGCCCUUAACUGGGUGGGCGUGGGGAUUCGCGACGUUUACUUUGAAAAAAUUAGAGUGUUCAAAG